Molecule: ribosomal RNA, 548 nt
Filed under: uncultured Glomeromycotina
Lineage: Eukaryota; Fungi; Glomeromycota
Description: SSU rRNA
Rfam family: Eukaryotic small subunit ribosomal RNA
Source: RNAcentral
UUGGAGGGCAAGUCUGGUGCCAGCAGCCGCGGUAAUUCCAGCUCCAAUAGCGUAUAUUAAAGUUGCUGCAGUUAAAAAGCUCGUAGUUGAAUUUCGGGACCAUCAUGUCGGUCGUGCCUCGGUACGUACUGGUAUUGUUGGUUUCUCCCUUCUGACGAACCAUGAUGUCAUUUAUUUGGUGUUGUGGGGAAUCAGGACUGUUACUUUGAAAAAAUUAGAGUGUUUAAAGCAGGCUCACGCUUGAAUACAUUAGCAUGGAAUAAUGAAAUAGGACGUUUGAUUCUAUUUUGUUGGUUUCUAGGAUCGACGUAAUGAUUAAUAGGGAUAGUUGGGGGCAUUAGUAUUCAAUUGUCAGAGGUGAAAUUCUUGGAUUUAUUGAAGACUAACUACUGCGAAAGCACUUGCCAAGGAUGUUUUCAUUAAUCAAGAACGAAAGUUAGGGGAUCGAAGACGAUCAGAUACCGUCGUAGUCUUAACCAUAAACUAUGCCGACUAGGGAUCGGAUGAUGUUAAUUUUUUAAUGACUCAUUCGGCGCCUUACGGGAAAC